GAUGAACGCUGGCGGCGUGCCUAAUACAUGCAAGUCGAGCGAACGGACGAGAAGCUUGCUUCUCUGAUGUUAGCGGCGGACGGGUGAGUAACACGUGGAUAACCUACCUAUAAGACUGGGAUAACUUCGGGAAACCGGAGCUAAUACCGGAUAAUAUUUUGAACCGCAUGGUUCAAAAGUGAAAGACGGUCUUGCUGUCACUUAUAGAUGGAUCCGCGCUGCAUGAGCUAGUUGGUAAGGUAACGGCUUACCAAGGCAACGAUGCAUAGCCGACCUGAGAGGGUGAUCGGCCACACUGGAACUGAGACACGGGCCAGACUCCUACGGGAGGCAGCAGUAGGGAAUCUUCCGCAAUGGGCGAAAGCCUGACGGAGCAACGCCGCGUGAGUGAUGAAGGUCUUCGGAUCGUAAAACUCUGUUAUUAGGGAAGAACAUAUGUGUAAGUAACUGUGCACAUCUUGACGGUACCUAAUCAGAAAGCCACGGCUAACUACGUG
Molecule: ribosomal RNA, 497 nt
Filed under: uncultured bacterium
Lineage: Bacteria
Description: partial 16S ribosomal RNA
Rfam family: Bacterial small subunit ribosomal RNA
Source: RNAcentral